UCCUGGCUGUAAACGAUGGGUACUAGGUAGUAGAGGAGUAAGUGCUUUUACUGCCGGAGCAAACGCGUUAAGUACCCCGCCUGGGGAGUACGACCGCAAGGUUGAAACUCAAAGGAAUUGACGGGGGCUCACACAAGCGGUGGAGCAUGUGGUUCAAUUCGAAGCAACGCGAAGAACCUUACCAGGAUUUGACAUAUAGGUAGUACUGAUCUGAAAGGUGAAGGACUUGAGCA
This 233-nucleotide ribosomal RNA is filed under the name uncultured bacterium. RNAcentral describes it as "partial 16S ribosomal RNA". It matches the Rfam family "Bacterial small subunit ribosomal RNA", at positions 794 to 1023 of the family's 1533-position model. The record is from RNAcentral.